UCUCCGAUUGACUUAUUUCACUCAGCAUAAUACCCUUCAGUUCUAUCCACGUUGUAGCAAAUGGUGGGUAUUCGUCUUUUCUGACGGCUGAGUAAUAUCCCAUUGUGUAUAUACCACAUCUUCUUUAUCCAUUCAUCUGUUGAGGGACAUCAUGACUCCUUUCACAGUUGGCUAUUGUGGACCUUGCUGCUAUGAACAUUGAGGUGCAGGUGUCUUGGGUUUUUCACUGCAUCUGUAUCUUUGGGGUAAAUCCCCAGCAGUCCAAUUGGGUCGUAGGGUAGCUCUAUUUUUAACUCUUUGAGGAACCUCCACACAGUUUUCCAGAGUGGCUGCACCAGUUCACAUUCCCACCAAUAGUGCAAGAGGGUUCCCCUUUCUCCACAUCCUCUCCAACAUUUGUUAUUUCCUGUCUUGUUAAUUUUCCCCAUUCUCACUGGUGUGAGGUGGUAGCUCAUUGUGGUUUUGAUUUGUAUUUCCCUGAUGGCUAGUGAUGUGGAGCAUUAACUAUUUGUGAUUGAGGGAAGCUUACAGAAUAAUCCAGCCAGCAUCGUCACAACUGCGUCACUGACUCUGUGACAGAAGUGGUUUAGAAUCCAAGAAUGAGUCACAAGACCACGGUUUCAGUGAAUCUUGUUGGAGAAAUAGGGUAGGAGAGAAUCUGGAAAUUAAACAAAGAUUGGUAAUGAGAUAUCAGAGAGGCAGAGCAAUAUCGGAGCAGGUAAACUGAGCAGGGUUGAGACCUGCAGAGUGGUUGAUGUGGAACAAAAGCAAAGGAUUUAGGAGGUUGGUGAGAGACGCUCUGAAGUGAAGAACCAUGACAUGGAAGUUGAACUGGAUAGGAAGAGAGGAUCCCAGAGGGGACCUCAAAUUUGUGCUGAACCUCUGAGAGUGGUCAGAAUGGAGGCUGAGUGCAAGAGCAAUGCAG
Molecule: long non-coding RNA, 925 nt
Filed under: Canis lupus familiaris (dog)
Lineage: Eukaryota; Metazoa; Chordata; Mammalia; Carnivora; Canidae
Description: lncRNA (ENSCAFG00000053883.1, ENSCAFG00845019780.1)
Source: RNAcentral